CUCAGAUUGAACGCUGGCGGCAUGCCUUACACAUGCAAGUCGAACGGCAGCGGACCUUCGGGUGCCGGCGAGUGGCGAACGGGUGAGUAAUAUAUCGGAACGUACCUUUCAGUGGGGAUAACGUAGCGAAAGUUACGCUAAUACCGCAUAUUCUGUGAGCAGGAAAGCAGGGGAUCGCAAGACCUUGCGCUGAUUGAGCGGCCGAUAUCAGAUUAGCUAGUUGGUGAGGUAAAGGCUCACCAAGGCGACGAUCUGUAGCGGGUCUGAGAGGAUGAUCCGCCACACUGGAACUGAGACACGGUCCAGACUCCUACGGGAGGCAGCAGUGGGGAAUUUUGGACAAUGGGCGCAAGCCUGAUCCAGCCAUGCCGCGUGAGUGAAGAAGGCCUUCGGGUUGUAAAGCUCUUUCGGCCGGGAAGAAAUCGCACAGGUUAAUACCCUGUGUGGAUGACGGUACCGGAAUAAGAAGCACCGGCUAACUACGUG
This 486-nucleotide ribosomal RNA is filed under the name uncultured bacterium. RNAcentral describes it as "bacterial SSU rRNA". It matches the Rfam family "Bacterial small subunit ribosomal RNA", at positions 23 to 507 of the family's 1533-position model. The record is from RNAcentral.